CCUACGGGGUGCAGCAGUGGGGAAUAUUGGGCAAUGGACGCAAGUCUGACCCAGCAACGCCGCGUGAAGGAAGAAGGCUUUCGGGUUGUAAACCUCUUUUAUAAGGGAAGAAUAAUGACUACGUGUAGUCAGAUGCCCGUACCUUAUGAAUAAGCAUCGGCUAACUCCGUGCCAGCAGCCGCGGUAAUACGGAGGAUGCGAGCGUUAUCCGGAUUUAUUGGGUUUAAAGGGUGCGUAGGCGGUAUUUUAAGUUAGUGGUAAAACGUCGGGGCUUCACCUUGAUUGGCCAUUAAAACUGGAGUACUAGAGUACAGACGAGGUAGGCGGAAUAAGUUAAGUAGCGGUGAAAUGCUUAGAUAUAACUUAGAACCCCGAUAGCGAAGGCAGCUUACCAGACUGUUACUGACGCUGAAGCACGAGAGCGUGGGUAGCGAACAGGAUUAGAUACCCCUGUAGUC
RNAcentral lists this ribosomal RNA (458 nucleotides) under uncultured bacterium. RNAcentral describes it as "partial 16S ribosomal RNA". It matches the Rfam family "Bacterial small subunit ribosomal RNA", at positions 338 to 795 of the family's 1533-position model. The record is from RNAcentral.